This 477-nucleotide ribosomal RNA is filed under the name uncultured organism. Its description in RNAcentral is "partial 16S ribosomal RNA". It matches the Rfam family "Bacterial small subunit ribosomal RNA", at positions 332 to 800 of the family's 1533-position model. The record is from RNAcentral.
UACACUCCUACGGGAGGCAGCAGUGGGGAAUUUUGGACAAUGGGCGAAAGCCUGAUCCAGCAAUGCCGCGUGUGUGAAGAAGGCCUUCGGGUUGUAAAGCACUUUUGUCCGGAAAGAAAUCCUUGGCUCUAAUACAGUCGGGGGAUGACGGUACCGGAAGAAUAAGCACCGGCUAACUACGUGCCAGCAGCCGCGGUAAUACGUAGGGUGCGAGCGUUAAUCGGAAUUACUGGGCGUAAAGCGUGCGCAGGCGGUUUGCUAAGACCGAUGUGAAAUCCCCGGGCUCAACCUGGGAACUGCAUUGGUGACUGGCAGGCUAGAGUAUGGCAGAGGGGGGUAGAAUUCCACGUGUAGCAGUGAAAUGCGUAGAGAUGUGGAGGAAUACCGAUGGCGAAGGCAGCCCCCUGGGCCAAUACUGACGCUCAUGCACGAAAGCGUGGGGAGCAAACAGGAUUAGAAACCCCAGUAGUCCCAUGA